CAAUAGCGUAUAUUAAAGUUGUUGCAGUUAAAAAGCUCGUAGUUGGAUUUGUGGCGUACGGUGUGUUCCGGGCACUUGUUGUCUGAGUAACCUGCUGUUGCCAUCCUUGGGUGGAACCUGUGUGGCAUUAGGUUGUCGUGCAGGGGAUGCCCAUCAUUUACUGUGAAAAAAUUAGAGUGUUCAAAGCAGGCUUAUGCCGUUGAAUAUAUUAGCAUGGAAUAAUGAGAUAGGACUUUUUUGCUAUUUUGUUGGUAUGCGCAAAGAGGUAAUGAUUAAUAGGGACAGUUGGGGGUAUUCGUAUUCCAUUGUCAGAGGUGAAAUUCUUGGAUUUUUGGAAGACGAACUACUGCGAAAGCAUUUACCAAGGAUGUUUUCAUUAA
Molecule: ribosomal RNA, 380 nt
Filed under: uncultured eukaryote
Lineage: Eukaryota
Description: partial 18S ribosomal RNA
Rfam family: Eukaryotic small subunit ribosomal RNA
Source: RNAcentral